This 457-nucleotide long non-coding RNA is filed under the name Lathyrus oleraceus (garden pea). Its description in RNAcentral is "Pisum sativum (pea) long non-coding RNA (PSAT_LNC000766)". The record is from RNAcentral. Lineage: Eukaryota; Viridiplantae; Streptophyta; Magnoliopsida; Fabales; Fabaceae.
AACAAAUGACUGUUUCUCCAGAACAACAGUCGAAACGUCUUUGCUGGGGGGCAAUUUGUAUACGUGCGUUUUCGACGCCAUGAGAUUUGGUGUACAAAAUGACUGUUUCGACAAAUGAUGACAUGGGAUAAAACGAUUCGGUUGAUAAGUGUGGCUCGACACUUCGACAAAAAUGGAAGCUUUGAUAUUUCGACAUGAUAUGUGCAGCUAGAAAAGUACUUUGACAAGACAUGGAAGACAUUGCAGUAUCUUGAUAAUUCGACAAAAAAAUCCUAAAGGAAGACGUCGUUUCGACUUAAAGUGUAAAUUUGAAUUUAAAAAGUUGUAACGUUUGACAGAAGACGCGUGGAAGCAUCUGGCGAAAAGAUGAAAGCCGUUCGUCACAGUUUUAGGAUUUAACCGUUAGUGACAGUUAUGUUAUUUGUAUAUAAAUAGGGUAGUUGUUAUCAGAAAANNN